CCUACGGGAGGCAGCAGUGGGGAAUAUUGCACAAUGGGGGAAACCCUGAUGCAGCGACGCCGCGUGAGCGAGGAAGUAUUUCGGUAUGUAAAGCUCUAUCAGCAGGGACGAAAAAAGACGGUACCUGACUAAGAAGCCCCGGCUAACUACGUGCCAGCAGCCGCGGUAAUACGUAGGGGGCAAGCGUUAUCCGGAUUUACUGGGUGUAAAGGGAGCGCAGGCGGCGCGUUAAGCCUGGUGUGAAAGCCCGCGGCCCAACCGCGGGACUGCAUUGGGAACUGGCGCGCUGGAGUGCCGGAGGGGUAGGCGGAAUUCCUAGUGUAGCGGGGAAAUGCGUAGAUAUUAGGAGGAACACCAGUGGCGAAGGCGGCCUACUGGACGGUGACUGACGCUGAGGCUCGAAAGCGUGGGGAGCAAACAGGAUUAGAUACCCGGGUAGUC
RNAcentral lists this ribosomal RNA (441 nucleotides) under uncultured bacterium. RNAcentral's name for it is "partial 16S ribosomal RNA". It matches the Rfam family "Bacterial small subunit ribosomal RNA", at positions 338 to 795 of the family's 1533-position model. The record is from RNAcentral.